Long non-coding RNA from Manis javanica (Malayan pangolin), 948 nucleotides. RefSeq lists it as uncharacterized. The record is from RefSeq and is a predicted model, not a curated record. NCBI's taxonomy places the organism in Eukaryota, Metazoa, Chordata, Mammalia, Pholidota, Manidae.
GGAGAUCCUGCACUACACCAUUAACAUUUGUGGUAAUCUGUUGCAACAGCACAAGGAAACUAUACAGCUGUGCUUUCCCUGCCUGGAUUAUUUUCAAAUCACCAUAGAAGCUUUCAUGACUUCCAGAAGUACUUUGAGUUGAGAGUAUCAGCUAGGACACCGACCUCUGCAUAAUGUCACUGAGACUUACAGCCUGGGUCUAAGUUAAAAGAUGAAGACUGCAUCAUGAAGCACUACUCUUUCCCCCUGCAAUAACCUCCAGAUGACAUCUUCUGACAAAGUUGGUGGCCUCCUAAAUCAAAGCCAAAUCAGUGGACUCUGAAGUCACAUUAUUUAAUGACUUAAUCUUCACAAAGGCAAUUCACUGAAGGGGAUUUUGGUGGAGGAUACUAUAAAUGGGAUACUAAAUAAGAUACUGUGAUAAGAGACAUUUAUUUACUCACAGUGAUCUGUUGAUUUUUUUUAAUGCAUUCCUUCAAUUGAGUAGAAAAAUAAGAAAUUAUGUACAUGUUUCCAACUGUUCAUAUUCCAGCUGGGAAUUGUGUUGUAACAGUCAACAACACAUUAGCAAAUUGAUUUAACAUUCUGUUAAAUUAGCAAAUUGAUUGCACUGGUUAUGCUAUUUGAUAUAUGCAUGCAAAGACUAAGUAAAAUGCUGUCUUACAUUUAAGUAUUUGUAAAUGAAGAGAGACAGUUUUUCUCUUAAGAAUUAAAACACUAUUCAGAACUCUGUCAAACUACAACUGGUUGUUGUCUAAUGUGUCUAAUGUGAACUAAGAGACUUAACGCCAUGAAUUUAAAGAUCAGAUUAACUGGAUUUGUGUAACCAAAUAUUGGAGCACAUUACCUAUGUGGUUAAGGUGUGUGACUUGAAAUUAUUAUAACUUUCAACUUUUCAUCCAUAAUGUUGAAAUGAGGUAGGGCAAAUUAGAUCAGCUAAAUAUUAUU